CCUACGGGGGGCAGCAGUGAGGAAUAUUGGUCAAUGGGCGAGAGCCUGAACCAGCCAAGUCGCGUGAAGGAUGACGGCCCUACGGGUUGUAAACUUCUUUUGUCAGGGAGCAAUUGAGUCCACGUGUGGGCUUAUCGAUAGUACCUGAAGAAAAAGCAUCGGCUAACUCCUUGCCAGCAGCCGCGGUAAUACGGAGGAUGCGAGCGUUAUCCGGAUUUAUUGGGUUUAAGGGGUGCGUAGGCGGAAUAUCAAGUCAGUGGGAAAAAUUCGGGGCCAAACCCCGUCGUGCCGUUGAAACUGAUGGUCUUGAGUGGGCGAGAAGUAUGCGGAAUGCGUGGUGUAGCGGUGAAAUGCAUAGAUAUCACGAAGAACUCCGAUUGCGAAGGCAGCAUACCGGAGCCCAACUGACGCUGAAGCACGAAAGCGUGGGUAUCGAACAGGAUUAGAUACCCGAGUAGUC
RNAcentral lists this ribosomal RNA (460 nucleotides) under uncultured bacterium. Its description in RNAcentral is "partial 16S ribosomal RNA". It matches the Rfam family "Bacterial small subunit ribosomal RNA", at positions 338 to 795 of the family's 1533-position model. The record is from RNAcentral.